GGGGUCUGCAUCAACUCUGAGGAGUGAUGAGCAUUGGAACAACCUGGUGGAAAGUGCUGAGAAGAGAGAUCUUGUAUUCAAGGUCUCCAAGCCUUACGCUUCAUUUUUCAGUGAUUCAAAUCUUGAAUCUAUGAAGGUUCCUGAUAACUUGCUAGGAGUGCCUGAUCAAGAUCUCGAUGAUGAUGUUAUAAUGCAUGGUAUCAUUGACGAUGCCGACCUAGGGCAAGCAGAUGAGCAUGACAUGGAUGACAUGGAUGAUGGGUUCAACGGUGCUGAAGAUGACUAAGUUUGCUAGCAAAUAAACAAUCAUUUCACCAUGUAAAUUGUUAGUUUUAGCCGAUUGGUGUUGCAUAUCUCCAAGAGUAAUGGUAAUAGCAAAGGAGAAAACAAGAAUGCUGAGAAAGCUGCGUAUGCAACUCUGCUGGCGAGGAGGCAAGGGAAAACAAGGCAGAACAGAUACUUGGAUAUAUUGAUUAUCUAGUCAUUGCAUGAGAUGGCAAGACUAAUAGCUAGUUGUUUUCUAUGAGAACUGUUUGGGGGAGUUUCUUGAGGGACAGACAUAGAGCUGCCGACCUUGUAAUGCCACCAUGUCAUUCCCACAAGCUUCUCGAUUAAAGGGGUAAAAAAGGAAG
RNAcentral lists this unclassified non-coding RNA (632 nucleotides) under Hevea brasiliensis (rubber tree). Lineage: Eukaryota; Viridiplantae; Streptophyta; Magnoliopsida; Malpighiales; Euphorbiaceae. The record is from RNAcentral.